Molecule: unclassified non-coding RNA, 335 nt
Filed under: soil metagenome
Description: partial contains 5.8S ribosomal RNA, internal transcribed spacer 2, and large subunit ribosomal RNA
Rfam family: 5.8S ribosomal RNA (bases 1-119)
Source: RNAcentral
GAUGAAGAACGUAGCGAAAUGCGAUAAGUAAUGCGAAUUGCAGAAUCCGUGAAUCAUCGAAUCUUUGAACGCACAUUGCGCCCCUUGGUAUUCCAUGGGGCAUGCCUGUUCGAGCGUCAUUUGUACCUUCAAGCUUUGCUUGGUGUUGGGUGUUUGUCUCGCCUUUGCGUGUAGACUCGCCUUAAAAUAAUUGGCAGCCGGCGUAUUGAUUUCGGAGCGCAGUACAUCUCGCGCUUUGCACUCAUAACGACAGCGUCCAAAAGUACAUUUUACACUCUUGACCUCGGAUCAGGUAGGGAUACCCGCUGAACUUAAGCAUAUCAAUAAGCGGAGGA